CAAAGGGUGUUUAAAUGGUCUGCCCAAAGUCACACAGCUAAGAAGCAGUGAUGGGAUAUGAAGUCAAACAGUCUUAAAAGCAAGCUAUCCUGUUGCAAAAUAGAAAUUAGUUGAUAACGUCUUCCAGGAGACCUACGGCCAUCCUACUGAUAUGAACCAGAUCAUACCUGCCCUGAUGGGAUGCCAGAGAAAGACUGCUGCAAGGGAUCCUCUGGAAACAGAACAGAGGGAAGAAGAUACCUUCCCUGAAGCCCAGAUGUUCCAGAAGCCUGCGCCUCAUUCACAAAGUCACCCCAAAAAUGCCCUAGAGUUUGGAGUUUUGAAGAAGCGGGAAGAAGGCCUGAGUAAGGGCCUGGGAACCAAGUUAGAUCCUACUUCAGCAUCAGCACAUGCCAGCGAUGGUGCACACAGGUGGAGAGCGGCCUGCCCGUCUUUUCCAUGGUGCCCACAGACCCAUUUAGGAUGAAAGAUCAGAAAAUUCUCUCCAUGUCACCGCUUCUGAAACAUGUGAAUAUUAAUAUUUGGUGCCUAAAAGGCCAUGGCAAAUUUUCAUUGGUUUUAUCUUAUUCAUGAUUAUAGAGUUGAAAGAAUACA
RNAcentral lists this long non-coding RNA (594 nucleotides) under Homo sapiens (human). Its description in RNAcentral is "non-protein coding LINC02056:44". Lineage: Eukaryota; Metazoa; Chordata; Mammalia; Primates; Hominidae. The record is from RNAcentral.